UACGUAGGAUCCGAGCGUUGUCCGGAUUUACUGGGUGUAAAGGGUGCGCAGGCGGACUGGUAAGUCAGAGGUGAAAUCUCGUCGCUUAACGACGAAACUGCCUUUGAUACUAUCAGUCUUGAAUCCGGUAGAGAUCUGUGGAAUUCCGAGUGUAGCAGUGAAAUGUGUAGAUAUUCGGAAGAACACCAGUGGCGAAGGCAGCAGAUUGGGCUGGUAUUGACGCUCAGGCACGAAAGCAUGGGGAUCAAACAGG
This 253-nucleotide ribosomal RNA is filed under the name uncultured bacterium. RNAcentral's name for it is "partial 16S ribosomal RNA". It matches the Rfam family "Bacterial small subunit ribosomal RNA", at positions 524 to 776 of the family's 1533-position model. The record is from RNAcentral.